GACGAACGCUGGCGGCGUGCCUAAUACAUGCAAGUAAAACGCUGAAGAGAGGAGCUUGCUCUUCUUGGAAGAGUUGCGAACGGGUGAGUAACGCGUAGGUAACCUGCCUUGUAGCGGGGGAUAACUAUUGGAAACGAUAGCUAAUACCGCAUAACAAUGGGUGACCCAUGUCAUUCAUUUGAAAGGGGCAACUGCUCCACUACAAGAUGGACCUGCGUUGUAUUAGCUAGUAGGUGAGGUAACGGCUCACCUAGGCGACGAUACAUAGCCGACCUGAGAGGGUGAUCGGCCACACUGGGACUGAGACACGGCCCAGACUCCUACGGGAGGCAGCAGUAGGGAAUCUUCGGCAAUGGGGGCAACCCUGACCGAGCAACGCCGCGUGAGUGAAGAAGGUUUUCGGAUCGUAAAGCUCUGUUGUAAGUCAAGAACGAGUGUGAGAGUGGAAAGUUCACACUGUGACGGUAGCUUACCAGAAAGGGACGGCUAACUACGUGCCAGCAGCCGCGGUAAUACGUAGGUCCCGAGCGUUGUCCGGAUUUAUUGGGCGUAAAGCGAGCGCAGGCGGUUUGAUAAGUCUGAAGUUAAAGGCUGUGGCUCAACCAUAGUUUGCUUUGGAAACUGUCAAACUUGAGUGCAGAAGGGGAGAGUGGAAUUCCAUGUGUAGCGGUGAAAUGCGUAGAUAUAUGGAGGAACACCGGUGGCGAAAGCGGCUCUCUGGUCUGUAACUGACGCUGAGGCUCGAAAGCGUGGGGAGCGAACAGG
This 765-nucleotide ribosomal RNA is filed under the name uncultured Streptococcus sp. Its description in RNAcentral is "bacterial SSU rRNA". It matches the Rfam family "Bacterial small subunit ribosomal RNA", at positions 28 to 776 of the family's 1533-position model. The record is from RNAcentral. Lineage: Bacteria; Bacillati; Bacillota; Bacilli; Lactobacillales; Streptococcaceae.